RNAcentral lists this ribosomal RNA (253 nucleotides) under uncultured bacterium. Its description in RNAcentral is "partial 16S ribosomal RNA". It matches the Rfam family "Bacterial small subunit ribosomal RNA", at positions 524 to 776 of the family's 1533-position model. The record is from RNAcentral.
UACGGAGGGAGCUAGCGUUGUUCGGAAUUACUGGGCGUAAAGCGCACGUAGGCGGCUUUGUAAGUUAGAGGUGAAAGCCUGGAGCUCAACUCCAGAAUUGCCUUUAAGACUGCAUCGCUUGAAUCAUGGAGAGGCGGGUGGAAUUCCGAGUGUAGAGGUGAAAUUCGUAGAUAUUCGGAAGAACACCAGUGGCGAAGGCGACUUACUGGACACAUAUUGACGCUGAGGUGCGAAAGCGUGGGGAGCAAACAGG